GAAGGUGUCAUCAGCAAACCGAAGUAGAAGGCUACUUUUACCAACACCUAAAAGUAGCAAUGGAAGUGGUUGUUGAUGAUGGAGAAGAAAUAAAAAAUAGCAACAGGAAAAGAGAAAAGAAAUAAAAAGCGGCUCAUUUACCAUUUCCAUUUUGACCGUGAUUAAUAUCCAAAAGCAACCAAGGGAAAGAUCGUUGGAUUUAUAUUUAAAACCAUUUCCGAUUGUGAAAAGGACGAUAUGGACAAUUUCGAUUGAUAAUUUCUUAACGUUUUAUUUACCCACUAGUUGAUUCAAGAUUUUGCGGAUUCCAUUACAAUCAAGAGACUGGAGAUUAUGUUACAUGCGAAAAUUUUCAUAAAUAAUUGGUACUAAAUUGUUAGUCAAGAAUAUUUAUAUAAUAUCAAGAAAUAUUGAAAUUGGAUGAUGAAACAAUUUAAUCAAAAGAAAGAAAAAAACCAUCACCGGAUAAAGUA
Molecule: long non-coding RNA, 473 nt
Organism: Panonychus citri (citrus red mite)
Lineage: Eukaryota; Metazoa; Arthropoda; Arachnida; Trombidiformes; Tetranychidae
Exons: 2
Source: RefSeq, a predicted model, not a curated record